Molecule: ribosomal RNA, 301 nt
Filed under: uncultured bacterium
Lineage: Bacteria
Description: partial 16S ribosomal RNA
Rfam family: Bacterial small subunit ribosomal RNA
Source: RNAcentral
CAGCAGCCGCGGUAAUGCGUAGGUGGCAAGCGUUGUCCGGAAUUAUUGGGCGUAAAGGGCUCGCAGGCGGUUUCUUAAGUCUGAUGUGAAAGCCCCCGGCUCAACCGGGGAGGGUCGUUGGAAACUGGGAAACUUGAGUGCAGAAGAGGAGAGUGGAAUUCCACGUGUAGCGGUGAAAUGCGUAGAGAUGUGGAGGAACACCAGUGGCGAAGGCGACUCUCUGGUCUGUAACUGACGCUGAGGAGCGAAAGCGUGGGGAGCGAACAGGAUUAGAUACCCCUGUAGUCCCCUGUCUCUUAUA